Molecule: long non-coding RNA, 515 nt
Filed under: Fukomys damarensis (Damara mole-rat)
Lineage: Eukaryota; Metazoa; Chordata; Mammalia; Rodentia; Bathyergidae
Description: lncRNA (ENSFDAG00000032602.1)
Source: RNAcentral
CUCCCGCCUCCACCGACUCAUCUGCACACCCCGAAGUGACCGUUCUCGGCCCCCUCAGCCCUGCUGGUGACCAGGUCCAGGCCCUGCUCCCCUGGAAUCCACGGUCUGCAUGGGAGGAGAUGGCUCAGCAGAAAGGACCUCGUUCACCUCGCUCUGGGGGCUAUCACCCGCUGAGACGCAGCUAGAAACACAGGCGCAGAACCUCAGGCUCCCACGAAGCCCAUCUUGAAAACGUGUGGAAGCUGACACGGCCCCUCCUCUGAACUUUGUCCCCAGCUGCCAGGCAGUCGCUCAGAGCAUGGGGAGAGAGGAAAGGCGCCUUUCACUCCAGGUGAGUGAUACCCUUGUCGCUUAGGGAGACACCAAAGUUGUCCCAGAAGGUGCCCACUUCCCCAGGGUCUUCCCACACCACCCUCAGGCUCUGCCUAUGAUUUCCUAGCUGUCGGGUGACCCACCUGGCGCAGGUGCAGACCUGCGGUCUCUCCUCCUCUCUGGAGUCCCAGCCCAGAACCCCU